This 253-nucleotide ribosomal RNA is filed under the name uncultured prokaryote. Its description in RNAcentral is "partial 16S ribosomal RNA". It matches the Rfam family "Bacterial small subunit ribosomal RNA", at positions 524 to 776 of the family's 1533-position model. The record is from RNAcentral.
UACAGAGGAUGCAAGCAUUAUCCGGAAUGAUUGGGCGUAAAGCGUCUGUAGGUGGCUUUUUAAGUCCGCCGUCAAAUCCCAGGGCUCAACCCUGGACAGGCGGUGGAAACUACCAAGCUGGAGUACGGUAGAGGCAGAGGGAAUUUUCGGUGGAGCGGUGAAAUGCGUAGAGAUCGGAAAGAAUACCAACGGCGAAAGCACUCUGCUGGGCCAAUACUGACACUGAGAGACGAAAGCUAGGGGAGCGAAUGGG